CUUAUAUAAACACGUGUGCCUUUCAAAUCAUGUCCACCUAAUUGAAUUUGCAACAGAUGGACUCCAAACAAAGUGUUGAAACCUCUCAAAGAUAAUCCGGAGAAAUGGGAUUCAUCUAAGCUAAAUUUCAAGUGUCAUAACAAAGGGUCUGAAUACUUAUAUCAGUGAUGUUUAGUUUUUUUUCCUUUCUAAUACGUUAGCAAUGUUUUAAAGCAUCAUUAUAGUCACCAGAACAAUUACACUUUAAUGUAGUGUCUGUGCAGGCUUCUUUAUCUGAGUAAAAAAG
Molecule: non-coding RNA, 286 nt
Organism: Pelobates cultripes (western spadefoot toad)
Lineage: Eukaryota; Metazoa; Chordata; Amphibia; Anura; Pelobatidae
Source: the annotation of a GenBank genome assembly